Molecule: non-coding RNA, 5420 nt
Organism: Oncorhynchus mykiss (rainbow trout)
Lineage: Eukaryota; Metazoa; Chordata; Actinopteri; Salmoniformes; Salmonidae
Source: RefSeq, a predicted model, not a curated record
GAGAAGGAGAAGAGAGAGUGGGAAGCAGAGAGAGCGAGAAAGAGAGAGCGAGAGAGAGAGAGAGAGAGAGAGACUGCAGCAACCGACAUGGAGCUCGAGCCUUUCCGGAGGAGAGCGAGCAUCCUCUAAUCUGCCAGGAUCACCGUAGAAUACAUUGACACCUUAGACAACAGACAACACUUCUAUAUCACCAUGAGGAACUGCUGACACCCCCCCCCCCUCACCUGACUACCAGAGAGAAGACACUUUCUUCCUCCCAUCCUCUCUCCCAGUCCGCCCGUCUUCACAAGGAUAAGCGUUAUUUUCGAGAGUGGAAAAAGUGAACAUCAGAGGACAAAAUAGAGAAAAAAGCUGAAGUCCUCUCUUGACCCUUGACCUCUAACCACUGACCUGUGACCUCAGUAUGUCAGGUCUGAGUGGUAAGCUGCAGCGUGUCCAGUGGCGGGCAGGAUGGCACUCCUUCACCUCCAGAGUCCUCAGGACCAAACCAGUAGAGAGCAUGUUGGACUCUGGGACAGGUGGUACCAGCAGCCAUGGCACCAAACUAGCGAGGGUGUUGUCCACGGUAGACCUGGUGUCACUAGGGGUGGGAAGCUGCGUUGGCACGGGGAUGUACGUGGUCUCUGGGCUGGUUGCUAAGGAGAUGGCCGGACCUGGCGUCAUCGUCUCCUUCAUCAUCGCUGCUGUCGCCUCUAUACUGUCAGGAGUGUGUUAUGCUGAAUUUGGGGUUCGCGUUCCCAAGACAACAGGCUCAGCCUACACCUACAGCUACGUGACAGUGGGGGAGUGUGUGGCCUUUUUCAUUGGCUGGAACCUGAUCCUGGAGUACUUGAUUGGCACAGCCGCGGGGGCGUCGGCUCUCAGCAGCAUGGCGGACUCACUAGCCAAUAAAAGCAUCUCUACGUUUAUGACUACACACAUCGGAACACUCAACGGCCUGGGUAAAGGAGAGCAGUCGUACCCAGACCUUCUGGCCCUGCUGAUAGCAGUGAUAGUGACAGUGAUCGUGGCCCUGGGGGUGAAGAACUCAGUAGGGUUUAAUAAUGUGUUGAAUGUGAUCAACCUGAUGGUGUGGGUCUUCAUGAUGGUGGCCGGACUCUUCUUCGUCAACGGACACAACUGGGACGAUGGAAGGUUCUUACCCUUCGGGUGGUCAGGGGUGAUGCAGGGAGCAGCAACAUGUUUCUAUGCCUUCAUAGGGUUUGACAUCAUCGCUACAACAGGAGAGGAAGCCAAGAGCCCCAACACCUCUAUACCCUAUGCUAUUACUGUUUCCCUCAUCACCUGCCUUACUGCAUACGUCUCUGUAUCAGUGAUUCUUACUCUGAUGGUUCCCUAUACAGAGAUCGAUGCAGACGCUCCUCUGAUGGAGAUGUUUGCUGUACAUGGCUGUUAUUUUGCUAAGUACAUAGUAGCAGUAGGCUCUGUAGCUGGCCUGUCUGUCAGUCUCCUGGGCUCUCUGUUCCCCAUGCCACGAGUAAUCUACGCUAUGGCUGGAGACGGACUGCUGUUCAGGUUCCUGGCCCAUGUGUCUCCCUACACUGAGACUCCAGCAGUGGCAUGUGUUGUGUCUGGCUGUCUGGCUGCUCUCCUCUCUCUCCUCGUCUCCCUACGAGAUCUCAUAGAGAUGAUGUCCAUAGGAACACUACUUGCUUACACACUGGUUAGUGUGUGUGUGUUGUUGCUACGCUACCAGCCAGAAUCAGACAUCCACGGCUUUGUGAACUUCCUGUCUGAGGAGCAGUCCAAUAAGAAGAAGGAGGGCGUGUUAGCUGAGUGUGAGAAGGAAGUGUGCUCUCCAAUCAGUGAAGUAGAUGACUACGGAGGACCUCAAACUAACACCUGUGGAGCGAAGAAUCUCCCCUCGCUAGGUGACAACGAGAUGCUGAUUGGUAAACCAGAUAAAACCACUUACACUGCCAGCCAUCCGAACUACGGCACCGUCGACAUGGGCUCCGGCAUCGAAUCAGAAGAGUCGGAGGGCGGGAUGUCGUGGAGGCUGAAGAAGCUGAUUGGUCCGCGGUACUACACCAUGAGGAUCCGAUUGGGCCUGCCUGGGAAGAUGGACCGGCCCACUCCGGCAACUGGAAAGACAGUUACUGUCUGUGUCCUCCUCCUCUUCCUCAUCGUAUUCAUCUUCAACUCCUUCAUCAUCUUCGGAGCGGCCAGCAUCGGUGAUGGCAGCUGGUGGGCUCUUCUCCUGCUGAUCUUCCUGGUCAUCUUUAUGGCCCUCCUCAUCGUCAUCAUCCUGCAGCAGCCAGAGAACCCGAAGCGACUGCCCUACAUGGCUCCGGCUGUUCCCUGGGUUCCUGCUGCUGCCAUGCUGGUCAACAGCUACCUGAUGUUAAAACUGUCUGCCAUCACCUGGAUACGCUUCGCUGUCUGGUGUUUCCUAGGUAUCCUGAUCUACUUUGGUUAUGGGAUAUGGAACAGUACUUUGGAGAUCAGGUCCAGGGAGCAGGAGGUCCAUGCGUCUACAUACCAGCGCUACGAUGGUCACCAUGCCGGGGUGGACGACGGCUUCUCAGGCUUCAGCGUUGACGACGACCUCUACCCCCCUAGCAACAACGACCCCUGGGCCGCACCAGACGGUGUUGACGGGUCAGGGCUGGUACCCCCCACGGCUGAUGAUGAUGAUUGGACGGAUCCAAAGGGAGGAGCUAAGAGAGCGCUAGCGGAGGAAGACCCAAUGGAUUUCUGAGAAGAAAGGAAUGAUGGACAGAUGGACGGAUGUUUCCGAGAGAAGUGAUAGAUGUUACUGUUGUAAACACCUGAAUGUACUGCCUACUGCCGGCUGCCUGCGUGCGUGCGUGCGAGUGAGUGAGUGCGUCCAUGUGAAUGUGUGGGUCCCUUGUUACUUAUUUAAAAACGUCUUUUUUUUCAUUGAGUUCCAAAGGAAGUAUGAUCCUAUGGAGGAAAGCUGUAGACUACCAAUCAGAAACAGUGGGCGGGGUCUUUGGGUUGAUUUGGUGAUGGGCAUACAGUGAAGGUAUUUUCCUCUCACUAUAGACAGUCCAGAGUGAUGACAGACUGGGAGCGACGAGUCAGCAUUUCCUGGUUCACCACACACACGGGAAGCUGUCAGAGCGCUGAGCCAAGGUCACUUCCUGUCACUGGUCCAGGUGUCUGCUGCUUCUCUCAUCUCACAGAGAGGAAACUAGCUACACACACACAGACACUCUUAGACACACACCCGCCUCUCCAGUCUCUAUCUGGGAAUGGGUGGCUGAUGGGUUUUUUGUGUCACAUAGUAAUUGGACUUUGCUUGCAAUAGUGCCUUCAUCUGUGUGUGCACGUGUGUGUGUUUUUUGGGGGCUGUGUGUGUGCAUGCGUGCGUGUGUGUACGCUUUUACACCUUGUAUUUGUGUCCCCUUCAGGGUCUUACCAGUGGAGUGUGUUUGUGACUUAUUUUGCUCCAUCCCACUCUAUGAAUCACCCCCCCCCCCCCUGCCCCUGUUGCUGUGUUACUAGAGCUCAGAAUGGAAAGGUUCUAAAUGACAGAUUUGUUCUAAAAAGAGUUAUGGACGCCACCCUGCUCUGCUCUGCCUACAGGUGUGCUAAAUCUCCAAAUGAACGUUACUAUAUUAGAAAGAACACGAGAUGAGAAUUGCUCUCACAUCAGACAAAUAUUUCUGAGUGUUUAGUCACAUAGAACCCUCUAAUUCUAUGGUCUCCGCCCCCUUGGGGAAGCCUUACUUGUCAAAUGCACUAAACUAAAGAUGCCACGCGAUCCCUCCUACUCCCCACGACCCCUAAAUGCUGACCUCUAUCCCUAACCACUACCCAGGGUUCUCUCUGCUGUUCAGGGGUGGGCUCGCUUGUGUUGUCCAGUGAAACAGACACACACACACACACACACACAGUUCAGCUGAACCCAAAACCAGAAAGGGGCUUCAGUAGGUACUCUGUGCUCCUUACUGUAAAUAUUAUGUCUCUGUGUGUGCGCGGGUGUGUGUGUGUGUGUGUGUGUGUGUGUGUGUGUGUGUGUGUGUGUGUGUGUGUGUGUGUGUGUGUGUGUGUGUGUGUGUGUGUGUGUGUGUGUGUGUGUGUGUGUUCCAUGCCUGUGGCUAUGUGACGUGGCUGGCUGGUGUAUGUGAUAGCAUGCUAAUGUGUAUAGCAUGGUUGUAGAUGCUGUAUUUGCAUGUGGUGACCGACAGCUAAGAGACAUUCUAGAACUAACAGCACCCUACUCCAAACUGACCCCUGAUCCUUGAUAAGGGAAACUAUAGGGUGAAGGGGACUGGUCGAUCUGGAACUGGGGUAUGAUAUGUAGCAAAUUUAGGAGUUGGUGGUUCUAUGGUUUCAUCUCCACCCCUCACCACCGCUCACUCCACCCCUUACCCCCACACCCUGUGUUUACAAGGUAAGCCAAAGUCCACAACAUUUGUUAACUUUGUAGAGAACAAAACAACAAUGAGAAUUGUCCAGUGGGGCAUAGACCUGUACAAUAGAUUGAAGUCACUCACGGUAUACUUUGUUCUGCUUAUGAACGGUUCAUAAUCACUACAACAGGGUUUGUUUAGGUCAAACUCAAUUAUGAAUGUUAACUAUUCAAUCAGGAUCCACCUGGAACCAAAUAUAAAAAGACCCAAAUAAUGUAAUUUUUCUAUUGAAACAAGUUAACUAAGGGUUAAUAAUCUAAUAAUGGUUUAGAAGCCAUUUUUAAGCAGAAUUCAAGUUUUACUGAAAACACUUGGUAGAGUAGACACAUGCAGUUACAUUCACUAGCUAGAGUAAAUAUACACAGUUACAUUCACUAGCUAGAGUAAAUACACACAGUUACAUUCACUAGCUAGAGUAAAUACAUACAGUUACAUUCACUAGCUAGAGUAAAUACACACAGUUACAUUCACUAGCUAGAGUAAAUACAUUCAGUUACAUUCACUAGCUAGAGUAAAUACACACAGUUACAUUCACUAGCUAGAGUAAAUACAUAGUUACAUUCACUAGGUAGAGUAAAUACACACAGUUACAUUCACUAGGUAGAGUAAAUACAUUCAGUUACAUUCACUAGCUAGAGUAAAUACAUACAGUUACAUUCACUAGCUAGAGUAAAUACAUUCAGUUACAUUCACUAGCUAGAGUAAAUACACACAGUUACAUUCACUAGGUAGAGUAAAUACACACAGUUACAUUCACUAGCUAGAGUAAAUACACACAGUUACAUCACUAGCUAGAUUAAAUACAUUCAGUUACAUUCACUAGGUAGAGUAAAUACACACAGUUACAUUCACUAGUUAGAGUAAAUACAUUCAGUUACAUUCACUAGCUAGAGUAAAUACACACAGUUACAUCACUAGCUAGAGUAAAUACAUUCAGUUACAUUCACUAGCUAGAGUAAAUACACACAGUUACAUCACUAGCUAGAGUAAAUACACACAGUUACAUCACUAGCUAGAGUAAAUACAUUCAGUUACAUU